UGUUUAGCUGUAAGUGUUUCUGUUAUUUUUUCGACUUGUUGGUUCAACUUUUUGUUGUUUUCUUUUCUUCCAUGAUAUGAAGCCAAAUGACACUCAACGAUUCUGAAAUAGCUAGGCUCUUUUUGCAUGACACUAUUUGGGGAUGAAUGUGAUGGUUUUUCGAUUUAAGGAACAAGUGUACGCGAAAGAACUGUUACAGUGGGACUUGAACUUGCACCACGUUUCGUCAACGGAGUCUGACACGGUGAUCAAGACUGGGGAGAGGUCGAGAGGCAGAGUCACAUUGUUGGCGUUACACCAAUCAGAGGCAGAGGUCAAGGGCUUGUCUGGAGGCAGGACACGACGUGGCUUGUGAUAAUGGUCAUUGCUGGACAGACCGUAAUGGAGGCCGUUGGUAGCUGGUCCACUCCAGGAGUCUGAGA
This is a long non-coding RNA of Coregonus clupeaformis (lake whitefish), 422 nucleotides long. RefSeq lists it as uncharacterized. The transcript has 4 exons. The record is from RefSeq and is a predicted model, not a curated record. Lineage: Eukaryota; Metazoa; Chordata; Actinopteri; Salmoniformes; Salmonidae.